GCCAUUAGAAUGAUACAGAGAUGAUUAGCAUGGUCCCCUCCACAACGAUGACACGCAAAUUUGUGAAGCAUUCCAUAUUUAA
Molecule: small nuclear RNA, 82 nt
Filed under: Chlorocebus sabaeus (green monkey)
Lineage: Eukaryota; Metazoa; Chordata; Mammalia; Primates; Cercopithecidae
Source: RNAcentral